RNAcentral lists this ribosomal RNA (395 nucleotides) under uncultured bacterium. Its description in RNAcentral is "partial 16S ribosomal RNA". It matches the Rfam family "Bacterial small subunit ribosomal RNA", at positions 523 to 918 of the family's 1533-position model. The record is from RNAcentral.
AUACGUAGGGUGCAAGCGUUAAUCGGAAUUACUGGGCGUAAAGCGUGCGCAGGCGGUUUUGUAAGACAGAGGUGAAAUCCCCGGGCUCAACCUGGGAACUGCCUUUGUGACUGCAAGGCUAGAGUACGGGAGAGGGGGAUGGAAUUCCGCGUGGAGCAGUGAAAUGCGUAGAUAUGCGGAGGAACACCGAUGGCGAAGGCAACCCCCUGGGCCUGUACUGACGCUCAUGCACGAAAGCGUGGGGAGCAAACAGGAUUAGAUACCCUGGUAGUCCACGCCCUAAACGAUGUCAACUGGUUGUUGGGUCUUCAUUGACUCAGUAACGAAGCUAACGCGUGAAGUUGACCGCCUGGGGAGUACGGCCGCAAGGUUGAAACUCAAAUGAAUCGACGGGG